RNAcentral lists this ribosomal RNA (3029 nucleotides) under Verrucomicrobiota bacterium. Its description in RNAcentral is "bacterial LSU rRNA". It matches the Rfam family "Bacterial large subunit ribosomal RNA". Lineage: Bacteria; Pseudomonadati; Verrucomicrobiota. The record is from RNAcentral.
AGUCAAGCGGACGAAGGCAUGUGGGGGAUGCCUGGGUACACGGAGGCGAGGAAGGCCGCGGUAAGCUGCGAAAAGCUCGGGGGAGUGGCACACACGCAAUGAUCCCGAGGUGGCCGAAUGGGGCAACCCGGCGGGUCGUGAGGCCCGUCAUCUCUCAGCAAUGGGAGAGGCGAACCCAGGGAACUGAAACAUCUCAGUACCUGGAGGAAGAGAAAUCAAUUGAGAUGCCCUCAGUAGCGGCGAGCGAACGGGGCAGUGGCCUAAACCGAGGUUCUCUGAAUCUCGGGGUUGUAGGAUCCACGGACGGCCCGUGGUCAAGCCAGUCGAAGUCCCCUGGAAUGGGGCGCCAGAGACGGUGAGAGCCCGGUAGAUGACGGCACGGACUAGGGGCUAGUGGCGAUCCUGAGUAACGCCCGACUCGAGUAAUCGGGCGUGAAGCUGGGGGGACCACCCUCCAAGGCUAAAGACUCCCGUGUGACCGAUAGUGGACGAGUACCGUGAGGGACAGGUGAAAAGCACCCCUGUGCGGGGAGUGAAAGAGAGCCUGAAACCACAUGCCUACAAGCGGUAGGAGGAUGGGCUGGCGGUUCGCCGUCAGUCGCGUCUGACUGCGUGCCUUUUGCAUUAUGAUCCGGCGAGUUGCUCCUCGCGUGCGUGGCUAAGCCGGUUGCCGGCGGAGCCGGAGCGAAAGCGAGUCCUGUAACGAGGGCGUGGGUGGGGGGUGACCCCCAUCCAGUAGUACGCGGGGGCAGACCCGAAGCCAGGGCGAUCUACCCAUGAGCAGGGUGAAGCUGGGGUAACACCCAGUGGAGGCCCGAACCGGUGUGGGUUGAAAACCGCUCGGAUGACUUGUGGGUAGGGGUGAAAGGCCAAUCAAGCCUGGAGAUAGCUGGUUCUCCCCGAAAUCUAUUGAGGUAGAGCCUCGGGAACGGCGCAAGCCACCGGCGCAAGCCGGUGAUGUCAGCAGGGGGUAGAGCGACUGGAUGGGCGCGGGGGAGCGAAGCUCCUACCAACCCCAACCAAACUCCGAAUACCUGUCUGAUCAGAGCCCGGGAGGCAGUCGCUGAGCGAUAAUGUCCAGCGGCGAGAGGGAAAGAACCCAGAGCCACAGCUAAGGUCCCGAAGUGGCCGCUGAGUAUAGCGAAGGAUGUGUCCGUGCCGUGACAACGAGGAGGUUGGCUUAGAAGCAGCCAUUCCUUUAAAGAGUGCGUAAUAGCUCACUCGUCCAGCGUGGAUGCGCCGAGAAUGGUCGGGAUUAAGCGGCCCGCCGAAGCUUGGCCUUUGUCUUUCGAGACAAGGGGUAGGGGAGCGUUCUGGGAACUGCGAAGCCGUCGUGGCAAACGACGUGUGGAGUGACCAGAAGUGAGGAUGCCGGAAUGAGUACGCGCAAAUCAGGGUGAAAACCCCUGACACCGUAAGCCCAAGGGUUCCUGCGCCAUGGCAAUCAGCGCAGGGUGAGGCGGGACCUAAGGCGAGGCCCCAGAGGCGUAGCCGAUGGAAAGCCGGUUGACAUUCCGGCCCCGUCGUGUCGUGAUGAAGCUCACAGGGACACUGGAACGAAGCCGCGGCGGCCAUGUGGACGGCCGUCUAACCGCGUAGAGCUCCCUCAAAAGGGUUCGAGACGGGAUGGCGAGGGCACGGGGGCAACCCCACGCCCGAGCGUGGUAGAGUCGACAGGCAAGAAAAGCUGUGAGGGGAGCGACCCGAUGUCCGUACCGGAAACCGACACAGGUGGGCGAGGCGAGCAGCCUCAGGUGAACGAGUGAGACGUGGUCAAGGAACUCGGCAUACUGAUCCCGUAACUUCGGAAGAAGGGAUGCUGAGCAGAGUGAGAGAAUUCACUUCUCGAGCUCUUUUCAGUCGCAGCGAAUCGGCCCAAGCGACUGUUUAGCAAAAACACAGGUGUGUGCCAAGCCGCACAAGGCGCCGUAUACACACUGACGCCUGCCCGGUGCCGGAAGGUUAAGGGGAGGGGUUAGAGUCCUUCGGGACUCGACGCUCUGAGCCGAAGCCCCGGUAAACGGCGGCCGUAACUAUAACGGUCCUAAGGUAGCGAAAUUCCUUGUCGGGUAAGUUCCGACCUGCACGAAUGGCGUAACGACUUGGGCACUGUCUCGACCACGCGCUCGGCGAAAUUGCAGUCUCGGUGAGGAUUCCGAGUCCCCGCGACAGGACAAAAAGACCCCAUGCACCUUUACUGUAGCUUGCCAUUGGACGUUGCACUUCGCUGUGUAGCAUAGGUGGGACCCGAUGAGCCCUGGGCGCUAGCUCAGGGGGAGGGGCCAGUGAAAUACCACCCUGCGUCGUGCGACGCCCUCACUGCGUGAGACACAACUCUCACCAGGACCGUGGCAGGUGGGCAGUUUGACUGGGGCGGUCGCCUCCGAAACGGUAACGGAGGCGCGCGAAGGUGGGCUCAGCGCGGUCGGUACUCGCGCUUAUAGAGUGUAACGGCAGAAGCCCGCCUGACGGUGAGAGGGACACCUCGAGCCGCCACGAAAGUGGGCCGUAGUGAUCCGGUAGCCCCGUGUGGAUGGGCUAUCGCGCAACGGAUAAAAGGUACGCUGGGGAUAACAGGCUUAUCGCGCCCGAGAGUUCACAUCGACGGCGCGGUUUGGCACCUCGAUGUCGGCUUAUCACAUCCUGGGGCUGGAGAAGGUCCCAAGGGUCCGGCUGUUCGCCGGUUAAAGUGGUACAUGAGCUGGGUUCAGAACGUCGUGAGACAGUUCGGUCUGUAUCCGUCGUGGGCGUUGGACGAUUGCGGGGGGCGGACUCUAGUACGAGAGGACCGAGUCGGACGGCCCGCUCGUGUCCCGGCUGCACUGCCCAGUGCAACGCCGGGUAGCGAUGGCCGGCAGUGAUAACCGCUGAAUGCAUCUAAGUGGGAAGCACGCCCCAAGAUGAAUCGUCCCUGUCCCCUCGUGGGACACUGAAGGGCCGGGAGAGACGAUCCCGUCGAUAGGCCGCCCGUGGACGUGGUGCAAACCACUCCAAGCGCAGCGGUCCUAAUCGCCCGUGUGGCUUGACUA